This 414-nucleotide ribosomal RNA is filed under the name uncultured eukaryote. Its description in RNAcentral is "bacterial SSU rRNA". It matches the Rfam family "Eukaryotic small subunit ribosomal RNA", at positions 592 to 1018 of the family's 1831-position model. The record is from RNAcentral.
CAAUAGCGUAUAUUAAAGUUGUUGCAGUUAAAAAGCUCGUAGUUGGAUUUCUGGUAGUGGGUUAGAGCGCACAUGCGUGAUGCUCGCGUCCAUUGCCAUCCUUCUGUUAACCUUUCAGGGCAUUCAUUUGCCAGUUAGGGGCUCAGAUAUUUUACCUUGAGAAAAUUAGAGUGUUUCAGGCAGGCUUGUGCCCGGAUACAUUAGCAUGGAAUAAUAGAAUAGGACUUUAGCCUCUUCUGUUGGUCUGAGGGGUUGAAGUAAUGAUUAAUAGGGAUAGUUGGGGGCAUUAGUACUUAACUGUCAGAGGUGAAAUUCUCAGACCAGCGGAAGACGAACCACUGCGAAAGCAUUUGCCAGGGAUGUUUUCACUGAUCAAGAACGAAAGUUAGGGGAUCGAAGACGAUCAGAUACCAU